This 71-nucleotide transfer RNA is filed under the name Ramicandelaber brevisporus. RNAcentral's name for it is "tRNA-Gly". It matches the Rfam family "tRNA". Rfam says of the family: Transfer RNA (tRNA) molecules are approximately 80 nucleotides in length. Their secondary structure includes four short double-helical elements and three loops (D, anti-codon, and T loops). Lineage: Eukaryota; Fungi; Kickxellomycota; Ramicandelaberales; Ramicandelaberaceae. The record is from RNAcentral.
GCGUCGUUAGUUCAGAGGUAAAACAACUGCCUUCCAAGCAGUAGUCCCGGGUUCGAUUCCCGGACGACGCA